UUUACAAUCAAACCUAACUCCCCGCCCCCAAUUCCUCUACUGAACAGUUGGAAAUCGUUUCCGCCACCUAGCACUACUUCAUCACCACUCGCCGCCACGUUGACCACCAUUGACAAUCACCGAAAAUCGCCCCACGACGGCGGAUCACCUCCAAACGGCCCAAAUUAUUCACCAUAUAAUACUCACCCCUUCCUCAUCCCUAAUCCAUCAACCAUUUUCUCAAAAACCUAUCCAAACUCCACGAUUAGUGGAUCUGAAAAAUUCAAGAACAUCAAAACUUCCCCUUUUAUAUUUCUGGACCGAUUCGGUAACUUGUGAGGUUGAAUCGUACAUCAAUCGAAGGCUAUUGUCAAGAGCUAUCAGUUGGUGUGAGGUUUGAUUCAUUUAUCGGUCGUCGGAGGUCGGUCAACUCGUCUUUAACUGGCCAGAACACUCACAACUCUCCAUUAUUCUCUUUCGGUCAAAACUUCAAACCCUUAGAGGUUUCUGACCAAUGAAGUACUUAUUCGACCAAAUGGUUGAACAAGUAUUCAUUGGUCAUAAAACCUUGAUCGAUUUUUAAGCGACAGAUUUUGGGAGCCCAGAUUCUUUCCAUAAUUUUAAUUUUCGUGCUGACGAUUGGUUUCCUUUUGGUAAUUUCAUUCUUAUGCCUUUUUAGUUUACCUGCUUGUUUUAUUUUGUUUGUCUUUUAUCUCCAGUUCAAAUGAAUGAAUUACAUGAUAGUUAAAUUUAUUAACAUGGGUCUUAGGUUUGUUUAGUUGUUAAUUCUAAUUGUUCUUUUUAGUUCAUCAAAAUAGGAUACGAAAUUGGUCAUUUUUCUAAUUGGUGAUCUGUUUGACGUAGCUUCAACGUGAUUGAGCAUGUUAUGCUGGUAAGUAGGCCCAAUCGGUAGAAUUGCAGUAGGAAUAUGGGUAAUAGGCAUGUUUGUUGAAAACCCAGCAUUUCAAUGCUAUAAAUUGUAAUAAUAAGGUGUUAAAAAAGGUAAUUGGGAAAUAGAACCAAUAGAAUCUUUGUCACGACCCAACCUGUUAUUUUGUAUAUUAUAGCCCCGUUUCCCUAUUUAUUUCCUCUUUGAUAUUUAUUUAUGGUUAUGUGACUUGUUGGGGUAGUUGGAUUGGUUUCAGAAAUAUUUUGGGGUGAAUUGUGACACUUAGUAUCAAAGUUAGAAGCUUAAGUUGGAAGAGCUAACCGGAGUUUAACUUUUGUGUAGACGACUCCGAAAUAGAUUUUUGAUGAUUUCGAUAACUUUGUACGAUUAUUUUGGACUUAGGCGUAUGUCCGGAUGUUGAUCUGGAGGUCCGUAGGUUGGUUUGAGGAUUUUUGGCAAAAUUUGGAAAGUUGAAGGUUUGGAAGGUAGAGAGGUUUGACCAAAAGUUGACUUUGUUGAUAUCGGGUUUGGAUUUUAGUUCUGGGAGUUGGAGUAGGUCCUAUGUGUCAUUUGGGACUACUGUGCAAAAGUUGAGGUCAUUCAGAGUUUAUUUGGUAUGGUUCGUCAUUAGUUUUAGAAGUUGGAAGUUUAUUAGUUUCAUUAGGUUUGAAUUGGUGUGCGGUUCGUGAUUUUGGUGUUGUUGGAUGUGAUUUGAGGUUUCGAGUGAGUCUGUAAUGUGUUUUAGAACUUGUUGGCAUAUUUGGAUGGGAUCCCGGGGGCCUCGGGUGUGAUUCGGGUAGUUGACGGAUCCUUUUGGACCUUAAUGAAAUGCUGAAGCAGGGAAGUUCUGGUGCAAUCGCACCUGCGAAGGAGUUUCCGCAGGUGCGACGCUGCAGGAGCAGCCAUUUGGUCGGAGCUGUAUGUUUGGCUGGGGCCGGUGAAGGUCGCAGAUGCGAAGGGUUGACCAUAUUUGCGAGCUCGCAGAUGCGAAUAAGGGAUCGUAGAAGCGAAAAAGGGCAGUCAAGCCUAGGACUGCAGAUGCAGAGACUUUCCGCAAGCGACGAUGCAGAAUUUAAGUGAAGUGCACAAAUGCACAAUUUUGACGGUAGAAGCAGAUACUUGGACCGCAGGUGCGAAUUCUACGGCAGGUUGUUAUGUUCGAAGGGUUAGAGUAUUUUCUCAUUUUGGGAGAUUUGGAACUCGGCUAAGGGCGAGUUUUGAGAGGGGUUUUGCUACAAUUGGAGAGGUGAGUGAAGUUUAAUCACUUUUGUUGAUAAAUAUUGAUUACCCAUUGAUUAUUAUACCUAGUUUAUGUGAAUUUGAAUUGAAAUUUUGGGAUUUUAGACCAUAGCAUUGGAGAAUGAGAUUUUGUUAUUUGAGGGUCGAAUUGUGGAUGGAAUUGGAUGAAAUUAGUAUGGUUUACUCGUAAUUGAAUGGGUGUUCGGAAUUUGUGAAUUUUGCAAGGUUUUGGGGUGCGAGCUCGGAGUUGACUUUUUGUGUUGACUGUUGAAUUUUUUAUUUUUGUUAAAGACCUUAGCUUUAUCAUUUGGAAUCCAUUCCAAUAGUUUUUAUUUAUUGUAUUAAGUUAUUUUGGCUAGAUUUGAGCCGUUCAGAGAUUGAUUUGCGCGGAAUGGGCUUAUUAGUGGAUUGAUUUUGCUCGUUAGAGGUACGUAUCUUGUUUAAUUUUGUAUGGGGGAAACUACCCCUUAGGAUUUGGGUUGGAUGUGUUAUUUGAAUUAUGUGAAAAACGUGUACAUGAGGUGACGAGUGUGUACACAGUCUUAUAUAUGGUAUUUUGACUAGUUUAGACUCUUUUGUUGCUUCCAUGCAUUUAAUUGAAAUUGUCUUAACAUGUUAUAUCUUUCAUUGUUAAAUUUAUUUUCACAUGCUCUAAUUGACGUUGUUAGUACAUGUUCUAUCAUUUAUUUUUAAGUUUGCUAUUAUAUGCUUUAGUUGAAAUUGAUACCUCUCUUAUUGCCUUGUUACUUCGUUAUUGUUGAAUUAUUCUUAUUGGAAGUUGUCAUUUCGUGGGGAUACCUUCAUUUUGAGUUAUUGAAGUUGAAGUUGUGAAAGCUAUUAAUGCAUUGAGGUUGAAGUUGUUAAUUAUUAAGAUAUCCUUCCUCGUUUAGUAUUUAUCAUUCAUUUUGUUAUUAUUGAGAUUCUUGCUCACAUUGUGAUUGAGCCGUAGGCUAUAUUACGGUAAUAUUUGUAUUAUUGAUUUUGGUGAGUGUUGUGGCAUACGCAUGCAGUGGUAUAAUGAUAGGUUUGAUACGCAUGUGGUGAGAUAAGGUGGGAUUUAUACACAUGUUGCUAGUAAGGGAAUUACUUGAAGCCAUACGGUGAGAUAAUUGGGUUAGAAUGCAUGUAGCUAUUUCGAAAAAAAUAUUUUCAAAAUAAAUGUAAGGCUCACGCGGUGAUAUAAGGGAGAUGGUGAUUGUGACUUGUGAAAUGAGAUUGUGAGGCAUGGUACCUCGGUUGUGAUUCUUGAUGUAUAUUUUAUGAUAAAAUGUGUUAUUGGUAGAACAAUUUUUAUUAUCUCUUCAUUUUUCUUACUUGUAAUUGUCCGUAUUUGAUUACUUGUUGUUCAUAUCAUGUGUUCACUUUUUGUUUCCUUUAUUGCCUUAAAUUCUGUUACUAUCCUACAUUAGUAUACUGCUUUGUUGUCAUUCAUCUCCUAGUUUUUCCGUCAUUAGAAUAUAUUAUAUUUUUUUUCAGUUUUCUUGUCCUAGUAGGUGUCUUGACCCGACCUCGUCACUACUCUACCGAGGUUAGGCUUGAUACUUACUAGUUACUGUUGUGUUUUACUCAUGUUACGCUUCUACACAUUGUUAUGUAGAUCCAGGUACAUCCGCUUGUGCCGGACGCUAGUGAUAGACCAGCUAUUUCUCGAGACUUCAAGGUACACUUGAUCGACAUUCGUAGGCCUCGAAGUCACCUUCUAUUUUUAGUUGUAUUACUGUUUAAUUCCUGUUCAAAAGAGUAUUGUAUUUAUAGAUUAUUAGUGCACUCUCUAUAGAUCUUAUGACUUAGUUCCACCGAGUUUUGGGAGUUUCUUGAUAGAUGUAUUGUUUGAGUUUUAUUACAAUAGUUUAACAAUUUAAAUUGUUAUCUAAGUUGUUACUUCUGUUAAUUAUGUAUGUAUGUUAGGCUUAUCUAUUCUAAGAGACUAGCUGCCAUCACAACAUCCUAAGGUGGGAAUAUGGGAACAUGACAUUUUGGUAUCAAAGCACCAGGUUCAUAGGUAUUACGAUUCAGAAGUAAGGUUAGUUGAGUCUUGCAGAUCGGUACAGAGAUGUUUGUACUUAUCUUCGAGAGAAUACAGAACCAUUAGGAAAAUUCACUUCUUUGAUUCCUUAUCAUGCGAACUUGUUGAUUUCAAAAUUUGAGUCUUUGUCUUUCGAUUCUCUCACUGAUGGUGAGGACACACAUUGUUGGAUCAAAUUAUCAGAUAUUCGCGCCCCUUGCUAUAGCUGUGCGAGGCCGGACGCCGAGGUAGAGGCCGAGGAGGGGCACAUGCUACAGCUAGAGCACUUGUCUGAGCAGUGACUGAGGAGCCACCUAUAGCUCAACUUGGGGGGACAGGCACCUGAGGAGCCUGUUGUCACCUCUGGACAUCAGGAGACCCUAGUACACUUUUGAGCAUGUUUAGUACUCUAGCCCAGGUGGGAUUGAUCCCGGUUGCUCCAGCUACAUCUCAGGCUGGAGGAGAAGCUCAGACUACUGUGUUUGACUAGGUUUGGCGUGUCAUGCCAGCACAACUAGUUAUUCCGGUUCAGUUUGAGGUCAGGGCAACGACAUCUAAGGAGAAGCAUAGGAGACUCGAGAGGUUCAAGAAGUAUGAUCCUCCUACUUUUAGUGGCACAACUAUGAUCCUCCUACUUUUAGUGGCACAACUACCGAGGAUGUGCAAGAUUUUCUAGAGAAGUGCCGCCGAAUUCUCUGCACCAUAGGUAUUGUGUAGGUGUGCGGAGUUGCUUUUACUAAAUUUCAACUGUUAGGCGCAACGUAUGGGUGGUGGAAGGCUUACGAAGGGGGUAGGCAAGUGGAUGUAGCCCCACUCACUUGGGCUCAGUUUUCUGAGAUAUUCUUGAUGAAGUUUGUUCCUCUAACCCUUCGGGAUGCAUGGAACACAGAGUUUGAGCAGUUGUGUAAGGGAAAUAUGUUUGUGGCAGAUUAUGCUAUCAAAUUCAAUAAGUUGUCUCGACAUGCACCUGCCUUAGUUUCUACAUUCAAAGAGAGAGUUUUCAGAUUUAUCGAGGGGCUUAGUUAUGGUUUUAGAUUUGUCAUGGCAUGAGAGUUGGAGAUAGAUACUCCAUGUCAGCAGGUUGUAGAAAUUUCCUGGAGUAUAGAGGUAUGUGGGGCUAAGAGAGGGAGCAUAGGGAGGCCAAGAGGCCUUGAGAUUCUGGAAGAUAUAGCGGUGGUCGUGCCCCGAUUGCAGCCCAUCAUGGAAAAGGCUAUGUGAGAUGCCCAGUUCAUUCUGCACCUCCAACUACUAGCAGUGCCUCGGCUAUUCAGAGGUCUCAAGCUGUCUCUUAUGCACAAGCCCUUUCCAGUACACUUCCUACGCGGGGUGCCUUCAACGGUCAGUCCAGCCGACCAGGUCAGAGUCAGUCUUAGCAGCCACGCCCACCGAGAGCUUGUUUCGAGUGUGGUGAUUUCAGACAUAUGGUGAGGGACUGCCUUAGACUUAGGAGGGGUGCACCUCCAUAGACUAUAGAGUCUCCACAGAUUCCACCGGGUCCACAGGCCAUGGUUACUGCUCCAGUUGCCGUUCCACAUGCGCCGCCAGCUAGGGUGUAGGUCAGGCAGGUAAAGGUCGCCCUAGAAGAGGAGGCCAUGCUUGAUUCUAUGCUUUUCCUGGUAGGUCGGGGGAGGUUGAAUCGGAUGUUGUCAUCACAGGUAUUGUUCUGGUCUGUCAUGGGAAUACAUUAGUUUUAUUUGAUAUGGGUUCCACUUACUCAUAUGUGUCAUCCUACUUUACUCCGUAUUUGGAUAUAUCCCGUGAUUCUUUGAGAGCUCAUGUAUAUGUUUCCACACCUAUGGGAUAUUCUAUUAUUGUAGAUAGUGUCUAUCGAUCGUGUUUAGUCACUGUUAGUUGUUAUGAGACCAGAGUUGAUCUAUUGUUUCUCGGUAUGGUAGACUUUGAAGUGAUCUUUUGUCGCGGUUGGAGUGGAGGGGUACAUUAGAUUAUAUUCCUAGAAGGGUUGUGUCCUUUCUUAAGGCACAACGAAUGGUUGCGAAGGGGCGUGAUGCAUAAUUAGCCUUUGUGAUGGAUGUCAGUGCUGAUACUCCUACAAUUGAGUCAUUUUCGGUAGUGAGAGAUUUCCCAGAUGUGUUCCCAGCAGACCAACCUGGCAUGCCGCCCGAUAGGGAUAUGAAUUGUGGUAUUGAUUUGGUGCCUGACACUUAGACCAUUUCUAUUCCACCAUAUUGUAUGGCACCAGUGGUGUUGAAGGAGUUAAAGGAACAACUUCAGGAGUUGCUCGAUAAGUGUUUCAUCUGGAUGAGUGUUUCACCUUGGGGUGCUCCGAUUUGUUUUGUGAAGAAGAAGGAUGGUUUUAUGCGGAUAGGUAUUGAUUAUACGCAGUUGGACAAAGUUAUAGUCAAGUACAAGUACCCACUACCCUGCAUUGAUGACUUAUUUGCCCAGCUUCAGGGUGCUAGAUUAUUCUCGAAGAUUGAUUUGAGGCCAGGGUAUCACCAGCUAAAGAUUCAAGAUCCGGAUAUCAGGAAGACUACUUUUAGGACUAUGUAUGGUCACUACGAGUUUCUAGUGAUAUCAUUUGGGCUAACCAACACCCCGGUAACAUUUAUUCACUUAAUGAUUGGUGUAUUCCAGCCAUAUCUUGAUUCAUUCGUCAUCGUGUUCAUUGGCAUCAUUUUGGUAAUUUCUCGUAGCCGGGAGGAUCAUGAGAAUCAGUUGAGGAUAGUGCUCCAGACCUUGAGGGAGAAGAAGUUAUAUGCAACAUUCUACAAGUGUGAAUUCUAACUUGAUUCGAUGGUGUUUUGGGGUCACGUGGUGUAUAAUGAGAGGAUUAAGGUAGAUCCAAAUAAGGUGGAGGCAGUUGAGAGUUGGCCUACACUGUCUUCUGCUACUGAGAUCCGGAGUUUUCUAGGCUUGGCUGGUUAUAAUCGCCAUUUGUAGAGGGGUUUUCAUCCUUCACAACUUCUUUGACCAGGUUGACUCAGAAGGGUGCUCCAUUCACGUGGUCCGACGAGUGUGAAGAGAGCUUUCAGAAUCUUAACACAUGCACAAAUACCAGUUCUAGUUUUGCCGUCAGCAUCAAGUUCAUAUACAAUUUAUUAUGAUGCUUCGUGGAUUCACAUCGAGUGAGUCUUGAUGCAGAAAGGUGGGGUGAUUGCUUAUGCUUAUGUCUUGAUACAAUCUACCUCAUUCAUGAUUUAGAGUUGGCAACUAUUGUUCAUGCAUUGAAGAUUUGGAGGCACUAUCUCAACGGUGUGCCCUGUGAGGUAUUCACAGAUCAUUGAAGUUUACAACAUUUGUUUAGGUAAAAGGAUCUAAACUUGAGGCAGUAGAGGUGGCUAGAGCUGUUAAAAGACUAUGAUAUCACCAUUUUGUAUCAUCUAGGAAGGUUAAUUUGGUAGUUGAUGCCUUAAGUAGAAAGGAUGAGAGUAUAGGUAGCCUUGCGUAUAUUCCUGUGGUUGAGAGACUGCUAGCAUUGGACGUUCAAGCUUUGGCCAAUCAAUUUGUGAGGUUAGAUGUUUCAGAGCCUAGCCAGGUUCUUACUUGCGUGGUUUCUCGGUCUUCUUUGUAUGAGCACAUCAGAGCGCGUGAGUAUGGCUACCCCAAUUUGCUUGUCCUUAAGGAUACGAUACAACAUGUUGAUGCCAAGGAGGUUUCUAUUAGAGAUGAUGGGGUGUUUCGAAUGCAUGGUCAGAUAUGUGUGCCCAAUGUGGAUGGGUUGCAUGAGUUGAUCCUUGAGGAAGCCCACAAUUUGCGGUAUUCCAUUCAUACGGGUGCUGCUAAGAUGUAUCAGGAUCUGAGGCAACACUAUUGGUAUAGAAGAAUAAAGAAAGAUAUGGUGGAGUAUCUGGUUCAGUGCUUGAACUGUUAGCACAUGAAGUAGGAGCAUCAGAUACCAGGCGUUUUGCUUUAGAGGAUUAAGAUUACCGAGUGGAAGUUGGAGAGUAAUACCAUAUAUAUCGUUGUUGGGCUCCCACUGACUCUGAAAUAAUUUGACGGAGUGUGGGUUAUUGUGGAUAGGCUAACCAAGUCGGCACAUCUCAUUCCGGUGGUGACUACCUAUUCUUCAGAGCAACUGGCUCAUAUCUAUAUCGCUGAGAUUGUUCGUCUUCAUGGUGUGCCAUGUCCAUUUUCUCCGAUCGAGGCACACAGUUCACCUUACAUUUCUGGAGAGGCGUACAGUGUGAGUUAGGCACACGGGUUGAGUUGAGUAUAGCAUUUUACCUUUAGAUAGACGGGAGGUCCGAGCGCACCAUUAAAAUCAUAGAGGAUAUGCUAUGUGCAUGUGUUAUGGAUUUUGGGGGUUCAUGGGAUCAGUUCUUACCGCUUGUAGAGUUUGCCUACAACAACAUCUCCCAAUCGAGUAUUCAGAUGGCUCCUUAUGAGGCCUUAUAUGGGAGGCAGUGUCAUUUUCCACUUGGUUUGUUUAAGCCGGGAGAGGCUAGGAUGUUAGGCAUUGAUUUGGUUAGGGAUGCCUUGGAGAAAGUCAAGUUAAUUCAGGAUCGGCUUCGUACAACACAGUCUAGACAAAAGACUUAUGCUGAUCGGAGGGCUCAUGAGGUAGCAUUUAUGGUGGGAGAGAGGGUUUUGCUUUAGGUUUAACCUAUGAAGGGCGUGAUGAGGUUCGGGAAGAAGGGAAAGUUGAGCCCUAGGUAUAUUGGUCCUUUUGAGAUCCUUGAUAGAGUUGGUGAGGUGGCCUACAGCUUAUCGACAGUUCACCCGGAGUUCCAUGCUACUAUACUCUAGAAGCAUAAUAGGGAUCCAUCACAUGCAUUACAUUUCAGCUCAGUCCAAUUGGACAAGGAUUUGACAUAUGUUUAGGAGCCAAUGGCUAUAUUGGAAAAGGAAGUCCGUAAGUUCAGGUCAAAGAACAUUGCUUCUGUAAAGGUUCAGUGGACAGGUCACUGAUCAAGGAGGCGACUUGGGAGACCGAUCAUGCUAUGUGCAGCCGUUAUCCUCACCAUUUCAGCACUUCAAGUAUGUCUCUAUCCUCGUUCGAGGACGGACAUUUAUUUUACAAGGGAGAGAAUGUAAUGAUCCGGUCGGUCGUUUUGUAUAUUGUAUACAUAUUCCCUUAUUUAUUUCCUCUUCUAUGUUCAUUUGUGGUUAUGUGACUUGACAGGGUGGUUGGAUAAGUUUCGGGGUGAAUUGGGGCACUUAGUCUCAAAGUUAGAAGCAUAAAUUAGAAGAGUUGAUCGGAGUUUUACGUUUGUGUAGACGACUCCAGAAUGGAGUUUUUAUGAUUUCGAUAGCUUCGUAUGGUGAUUUUGGACUUAGGCAUAUGUUCAUAUGUUGAUUUGGAGGUCCGUAGGUUGGUUUGACUCUUUUUGGCGAAAGUUGGAAAGUUGAAGGUUUGGAAGGUUGAGAGGUUUGACCGAGAGUUGACUUUGUUGAUAUCUGGUUUGGGUUUUGGUUUCGGGAGUUGGAGUAGGCCCGUUGUGUCAUUUGAGACUAGUGUGCAUAAUUUGAGGUCAUUCAGAGUUAAUUUGAUAUGGUUCGGCAUUAGUUUUAGAUGUUGGAAGUUUGUUGGUUUCAUUAGGCUUGAAUUGGUGUGCGAUUCGUGAUUUUGGUGUAUUUUGAUGUGAUUUGAGGUUUCGAGCGAGUUCGUAUUAUAUUUUAGGAUUUGUUGGUACGUUUGGAUGGGGUCCCGGGGGCCUCAGGUGUGAUUUGGGUGGUUGACGAAUCUUUUGGACCUUGAAGGAAUGUUGAAGCUGGGAAGUUCUGGUGCUUGCCAAUUGGUCACAUGUUCAUAUUUGGCAGGGGCUGGUGAAGGUCACAGGUGCAAAGGGUCGACCGCAUCUGUGAGCUCGUAGAUGCAGAUAAGGGAACGCAGAAGCGGAAAAGGGCAGUGAGGUCUAGGAUCGCAGAUGCAGAGACUUUCCGCAGGUGCGGGACAUUUAGGUGAGGGUUUUGGACCACAAAAGAGACGGAGAGGAACUUAAGUGAAGUGCUAAGAUGCGCAAUUUUGUCCGCAAAAAUGGUGCUGCAGAAGAGAUACUUGGACCGCAGAUGCAUAAUCUCUUGUAGGUUAUUAUGGUUGAAAGGUUAGUGUGUUUUCUCAUUUUGGGAGAUUUGGAACUCGGCUAAGGGCAAUAUUUGAGAGGGCUUUUGCUACAAUUCGGAGGUAAAUGAAGUUUAAUCACUUUUGUUGAUAUAUAUGGAUUACCGAUUGAUUAUUACACCUAUUGUAUGAGAUUUUGAAGUGAUAUUUUGGGGAUUUUAGACCAUGGCAUUGGAGAGUACAAUUUGGUAAUUUAAGGGUCGAUUUGUGGAUGAAAUUAGUAUGGUUGGAUUCGUAACUGAAUGAGACUCCAUUCUUAUGACUUUUAUUGAUUGUAAUAAGUUAUUUUGGUUAGAAUCCAACCGUUCGAAGGUUGUUUCACAUGGGAAGGUCUUUUUAGAGUAUUAAUAUAGUUUCGUUGAGGUAAGUAUGAUGCCUAACUUUGUGUGGGAUAACUACCCCUUAGGAUUUGGGUUUGUUGUAUCAUUUGAAUUAUGUGAAAGACAUGUACGCGAGGUGACGAGUGUGUAAAUAGGAUUAUAUGUGGUAUUUGACAGGUUAGACUCCUAGGCUUCUUUUAUGCAUUAACCGAAGUCUUCAUAUCAUGUUAUAUCCUCCAUGCUAAGCUUACUCUUACAUGCUUUAUUUGAAGUUGUUAGCACAUGUUCUAACUUUUAUUUGUCAAAAUUUACACUUCUAUGCUUGGUUGAAGUUUUUACCUCUUUUAUUGUCAUGCUACCUCUUUAUUUAUUGAAUUAUUCUUAUUUGAAGUUGGUGUUACAUGAUAUCCCUUCAUUGUCGAGUUAUUCUCAAUUAUUUAGACGUAGUUGCUAUUUCAUGUCAUCUCUUUCAUUGUUAGCUUAUAUUAUACACUAGAAGUUGAAGUUGCCAUUUCAUGAAAAUAUCGUCAGUAUUUAGUUUAUUCUUAAGAAAUUAAUUGACGUUAAAGUUAUUGAGAGCCAUUAACCUGUUUAGUUGAAGUUGUUGUUUAAUGGAGUAUCUUUCAUUAUUGAGUUAUUUUCCCGUUUCCUUUUGUUGCUAUUGACAUUUUUGUACACAUAGUGGUCGAGCCGUGACCUAUAUGUUGUGGUGAUAUCGAUAUUGUUGUUUUGGAAAGUUUGUGUCCUAUGGGCACUUGUGGUACGAAUUGAUAUUUCGUGCUGUUGUGAUGUUAGCACACAUAGAUUUAUUGUGUGGAUUGAUUGUUGUUAUGUAAAGAAUAAGGGUAGAAUCUCAUUGUUGUUCAUUAUGUGGAGUGAUAUGGGUGGCUAUUGUGAUGUUUUGUCUAGGUAGAGUGAUAUGGGUGGCUAUUGUAUUUAUUGUCUUGGCAGACUGAUACGGGUGGCUAUUGCGUUACUAUCUGGGUAGAGUGACACGAGCUCCUAUUGUGUUAAAUGUCUGGGCGGAGUGAUACAAGUAGCUAUUAUGAAAUGAUCAUCACGGAGAGACAAAGGUGGAUAUGUCAGGUAUGAUAUGUGAAGGCCUGAGGGCAUAAUGUUGAUAAUAUUCAUGUAAUGGCAUGAUUUUCCUUGUGUGUGUCAUGCACCUUACGUGACUUGUUGUAUUGUCUCCAAUGAGCUACUCGAUUUCUUUGAUAUUACUUGUUGACUUGGACUGUAAUAAUACACUCAUACAUGCAUACACUGUAGCAUGCCAUUUAUACUAGUUCAGGAGUAUGAAACUUUACAUUCAUUGAUCAUGCAAAUGUAGUCAUGUAUAUUUGCUUUCAUCUUGAUAUUGAGCCUGUGACCACGCCGACUAGAUUGUGAUAUUGAGCCUGUGAUCAUGCCAGGCGAUUGUGAUAUUGGGCCUAUGAACAUGCCGGGGGGAUUGUGAUAGUGAGCCUCUGACCAUGUCGGCCGGAUUGUGAUAGCGAGCCUAUGUCCAUGCUGGGAUGAUUGAGGUAUUGGCACGUGAGUUGUCCAUAUGGUUAUGAUUGAUAAUGUGGGCACAAGGUGCCAUGUGUAUAUGAUUUAGCACUCGUGGCUUGUGGUUUUGAGGAGUGGUACCUCGAGGUGGUUUUGUUGUAAACAUUGUGUUAUAACAUCUUGAUUAUUUGGUUGUCAUGUGUCUACCUUUUUUGGUUUCACUGGUACUUUAACGGUGUUCCGAUUACUUUACUGUUUUUAUUACACAUUUAUUCCAUAUUUCCAUUUACUGAUACUUUCUUUCAUUAUUAGCUUUAUACUUAAAUACUGCACAAGUUAUUAUGUCUAGUAUGUGUCUUGACUUGUACCUAGUUACUACUCCAACGAGGAUAGUCUUGAUUCUUACUGGGUACCUUUAACGACCCAACCGGUUGUCGUGCCCCUUCUUUCUC
This 12394-nucleotide long non-coding RNA is filed under the name Nicotiana tabacum (common tobacco). Its description in RNAcentral is "long non-coding RNA (NTAB_LNC002495)". Lineage: Eukaryota; Viridiplantae; Streptophyta; Magnoliopsida; Solanales; Solanaceae. The record is from RNAcentral.